Molecule: ribosomal RNA, 506 nt
Filed under: uncultured bacterium
Lineage: Bacteria
Description: partial 16S ribosomal RNA
Rfam family: Bacterial small subunit ribosomal RNA
Source: RNAcentral
AUUGAACGCUGGCGGCAGGCUUAACACAUGCAAGUCGAGCGGUAACAGAGAGAAGCUUGCUUCUCUGCUGACGAGCGGCGGACGGGUGAGUAAUGCCUAGGAAUCUGCCUAGUAGUGGGGGAUAACUUGCCGAAAGGUAAGCUAAUACCGCAUACGUCCUACGGGAGAAAGGAGGGGACCUUCGGGCCUUUCGCUAUUAGAUGAGCCUAGGUCGGAUUAGUUAGUUGGUGAGGUAAUGGCUCACCAAGACCGCGAUCCGUAACUGGUCUGAGAGGAUGAUCAGUCACACUGGAACGGAGACACGGUCCAGACCCCUACGGGAGGCAGCAGUGGGGAAUAUUGGACAAUGGGGGGAACCCUGAUCCAGCCAUGCCGCGUGUGUGAAGAAGGUCUUAGGAUUGUAAAGCGCUUUAAGUUGGGAGGAAGAGCAGUUAACUAAUAUUUGACUGUUUUGACGUUACCGACAGAAUAAGCACCGGCUAACUUCGUGCCAGCCGCCGCCGUAA